ACGGAGGGUGCGAGCGUUAAUCGGAAUUACUGGGCGUAAAGCGCGCGUAGGCGGUUUGGUAAGUCGGAUGUGAAAUCCCCGGGCUUAACCUGGGAAUUGCAUUCGAUACUGCCUGACUAGAAUGUGAUAGAGGUAAGUGGAAUUCCCGGUGUAGCGGUGAAAUGCGUAGAUAUCGGGAGGAACAUCAGUGGCGAAGGCGGCUUACUGGAUCAACAUUGACGCUGAGGUGCGAAAGCGUGGGGAGCAAACAGG
This 252-nucleotide ribosomal RNA is filed under the name uncultured bacterium. Its description in RNAcentral is "partial 16S ribosomal RNA". It matches the Rfam family "Bacterial small subunit ribosomal RNA", at positions 525 to 776 of the family's 1533-position model. The record is from RNAcentral.